GGGUAUAGUUCAGCUGGUAGAAUAUCGGUCUCCAAAACCGCAGGUCCUGGGUUCGAAUCCUAGUGC
RNAcentral lists this transfer RNA (66 nucleotides) under human gut metagenome. It matches the Rfam family "tRNA", at positions 5 to 66 of the family's 71-position model. Rfam says of the family: Transfer RNA (tRNA) molecules are approximately 80 nucleotides in length. Their secondary structure includes four short double-helical elements and three loops (D, anti-codon, and T loops). The record is from RNAcentral.